This 560-nucleotide ribosomal RNA is filed under the name uncultured marine eukaryote. RNAcentral describes it as "SSU rRNA". It matches the Rfam family "Eukaryotic small subunit ribosomal RNA", at positions 617 to 1190 of the family's 1831-position model. The record is from RNAcentral.
AGUUAAAAAGCUCGUAGUCGGAUUUCAGUAUUAGGCCCUUCUUCCAAUACGGUUGCUAGUGGUCUUUACUUCCUUAACAGAAUCUUUCAUCUCAUUAAUUUGGGGUGUUUGGGGCCUGUUUCUUUUACUUUGAGAAAAUUAGAGUGUUCAAAGCGGGUUUUCGCCUGGAUAUUACUCUUGGAAUAAUAAUAUAGGACUUUGGUUCUUUUUUGUUGGUGACUUAGAGCCGAAGUAAUGAUUGAUAGGGACAGUUGGGGUCAUUCGUACUAUGAAGCGAGAGGUGAAAUUCAUGGACCUUUGUAUGACGAACUACUGCGAAAGCAUUUGACUAGGAUGUUCCCGUUGAUCAAGAACGAAAGUUGGGGGAUCGAAGACGAUCAGAUACCGUCGUAGUCUCAACCAUAAACUAUGCCAGCUAGGGAUUGGAGGAAGAUCAUUUUACGUCUCCUUCAGCACCUUAUGAGAAAUCAAAGCAUUUGGGUUCCGGGGGGAGUAUGGUCGCAAGGCUGAAACUUAAAGGAAUUGACGGGAGGGCACCACCAGGAGUGGAGCCUGCGGCU